This 305-nucleotide ribosomal RNA is filed under the name uncultured bacterium. RNAcentral's name for it is "bacterial SSU rRNA". It matches the Rfam family "Bacterial small subunit ribosomal RNA", at positions 333 to 654 of the family's 1533-position model. The record is from RNAcentral.
GAUAUCCUACGGGGGGCAGCAGUGGGGAAUAUUGCACAAUGGGGGAAACCCUGAUGCAGCAACGCCGCGUGGGUGAAGGAGCGUUUCGGCGCGUAAAGCCCUGUCAGCGGGGAAGAAGAAAGACGGUACCCGGCCAAGAAGCCCCGGCUAACUACGUGCCAGCAGCCGCGGUAAUAAGUAGGGGGCGAGCGUUAUCCGGAAUUACUGGGUGUAAAGGGAGCGUAGACGGCGAGGUAAGCCUGAAGUGGAAGCCCGCGGCCCAACUGCGGAACUGCUUUGGGAACUGUGUUGAUGGAGUAUGGGAG